CCCUACUCCAUCUCCCAGUCCAACUGUGGUCAGUGAAGACCAGACUGGAUGCUGCAAGGAAUCAAGGUGAAAUAUCGCUCCUCCACAAAAGAACAAUUAGAAAAUGGGUGGAGAUGCAUCAAGAGAUCGAGCGGAUAAAGCUGAAAGAGACCUUCAGGAUACUAUGAAUGAAAAACAAAGAAUUAUGGAAGAAAAGAGAAAACGUGAAGAUGACUACAAGCAACUCCUUGCUGAGAAAGUUAGACUAGAAACAACACAGAAGAUGGAGGAACAAAAACGACGGGAGCAAGAGAAGCAGAGACAAAAAAUUAUUGAACACAACAGAGCACAAGAGAAAGCCGAAAGGAUAAGGAUUCAUCAAGAAAAGAAUAAUGCCAACAGUCCUAAAACUGUAGGAUGAAGAGACAAUGGUUUAAAUGUUUGAUUAUCCACAAAAGGAUUAUUGGAUACAGUACAUACAGCAAAGUACACAGUUAAUGGAUACAGUACAUACAGCACAGAACACAGUUAUUGGAUACAGUACAUACAGCACAGAACAGUUAUUGGAUACAGUACAUACAGCACAGUACAGUUAUUUGAUACAGCACAUACAGCACAGUACACAGUUACUGGAUACAGUACAUACAUCACAGUACACAGUUACUGGAUACAGUACAUACAUCACAGUACACAGUUAUUGGAUACAGUACAUACAGCACAGUACACAGUUAUUGGAUACAGUACAUACAGCACAGUACACAGUUAUUGGAAACUUUUAAUAUCCACACAUGCACUAGCUGUUUUAUUUUUCCAAAAUUAGUAUUGCAUAGUUUCAAUAACAAAGAAUAUAAACUGGUUUUAUAAUUGUUUACCUACAAAAAUGUAGUUAUUUCUUACAACAUAAGUCUGAUUUUGUCAUGUUUUAUAUGCCUUGAGUACUGUACUCUAG
This is a long non-coding RNA of Esox lucius (northern pike), 928 nucleotides long. The record is from Ensembl. Lineage: Eukaryota; Metazoa; Chordata; Actinopteri; Esociformes; Esocidae.